Molecule: small nuclear RNA, 141 nt
Filed under: Pogona vitticeps (central bearded dragon)
Lineage: Eukaryota; Metazoa; Chordata; Lepidosauria; Squamata; Agamidae
Description: U1 spliceosomal RNA (ENSPVIG00000023331.1)
Rfam family: U1 spliceosomal RNA
About the family: U1 is a small nuclear RNA (snRNA) component of the spliceosome (involved in pre-mRNA splicing). Its 5' end forms complementary base pairs with the 5' splice junction, thus defining the 5' donor site of an intron.
Source: RNAcentral
ACUCAUACCUUGUAAGAGAAAUACCAUGUCAUAAAAAUGGUUUUCUCAGGGGGAGGUUCAUCCAUUACACUUGGGGUGUGUUGCUGAUCCAUGUGAUUUCCCCAAAUGUGGGGAACUUAGCUGCAUAAUUUAUGUUAAUGU